This 516-nucleotide unclassified non-coding RNA is filed under the name uncultured Glomus. Its description in RNAcentral is "SSU rRNA". It matches the Rfam family "Eukaryotic small subunit ribosomal RNA", at positions 569 to 1087 of the family's 1831-position model. The record is from RNAcentral. Lineage: Eukaryota; Fungi; Glomeromycota; Glomeromycetes; Glomerales; Glomeraceae.
AGCAGCCGCGGUAAUUCCAGCUCCAAUAGCGUAUAUUAAAGUUGUUGCAGUUAAAAGCUCGUAGUUGAAUUUCGGGAUCAAUAUGCUGGUCGUGCCAUUGGUACGUACUAGUAUUAUUGGUUUCUCCUUUCUGAUGAAUCAUGAUGUCAUUAAUUUGAUGUCAUGAGGAAUCAGGACUGUUACUUUGAAAAAAUUAGAGUGUUUAAAGCAGGCUCGCGCUUGAAUACAUUAGCAUGGAAUAAUGAAAUAGGAUGUUUGAUUCUAUUUUGUUGGUUUCUAGGAUUGACGUAAUGAUUAAUAGGGAUAGUUGGGGGCAUUAGUAUUCAAUUGUCAGAGGUGAAAUUCUUGGAUUUAUUGAAGACUAACUACUGCGAAAGCAUUUGCCAAGGAUGUUUUCAUUAAUCAAGAACGAAAGUUAGGGGAUCGAAGACGAUCAGAUACCGUCGUAGUCUUAACCAUAAACUAUGCCGACUAGGAAUCAGACGAUGUUAAUUUUUUAAUGACUCGUUUGGCACC